Molecule: long non-coding RNA, 495 nt
Organism: Alnus glutinosa
Lineage: Eukaryota; Viridiplantae; Streptophyta; Magnoliopsida; Fagales; Betulaceae
Exons: 2
Source: RefSeq, a predicted model, not a curated record
UGAAUCAUUAGCAAGAUGAAGAUAAUUCUCAUGAUAAGCACCACCUUUCUCAUCUCUCUCAUCAUUUUUCAUGGAACCUCUCCUCGUUCUAGCAUGGUCGAGGCAAGAACUUUGCAGGAGAGUGGAAGCAGCUUGUUUGGGAAGUCGGAUAAUUACAAGAAAAGACCCUAUCCCUCACCACCACCGCCUCCAACAGUAGCACCACCGAUUAUACCAAGUCCGGAAGAUUUAUUACCCAUGGAAUCUCCAAAUCCUUACACAGCUUCUGCCUGAAUUUAUUUAUGGAUCUCAAUAUAUUUUAUUUAGAUUAUGAUCGAAGACAGUACUACUACUAGUGUACUUUAUUUUCAUUGCUUUUGUAAUUUUCUUUUUCUUUUUUUUGGGCUAGUCUGAAUUAUAGAUUUCUGAAUUCCUCUACUAUAUAUUGAACAUAAUUGAAGAUUAUGUCUAUGAAUUGAUCACUAGAGUACCUUGUAAUCAAUUCAACUUAAUUAA